GAUUAACGCUGGCGGCGUGCCUAACACAUGCAAGUCGAGCGGCAGCGAGUUUUACACUGAAUUCUGGAAGCUUCUAGUUGAAAGAGAAGAUUUAUUCAAGAAUUUUGUGUAAAAUGUCGGCGAGCGGCGGACGGCUGAGUAACGCGUGGGAACGUACCCCAAAGUGAGGGGUAACGCAUCGAAAGGUGUGCUAAUACCGCAUAUGGUCUUCGGAUUAAAGCCUUCGGGCGCUUUGGGAACGGCCUGCGUAAGAUUAGAUAGUUGGUGGGGUAAUGGCCUACCAAGUCGACGAUCUUUAACUGGUUUGAGAGGAUGAUCAGUCAGACUGGAACUGAGACACGGUCCAGACUCCUACGGGAGGCAGCAGUGAGGAAUCUUCCACAAUGGGCGAAAGCCUGAUGGAGCAACGCCGCGUGCAGGAUGAAGGCCUUCGGGUUGUAAACUGCUUUUAUAAGUGAGGAUUAUGACAGUAACUUAUGAAUAAGGAUCGGCUAACUACGUG
RNAcentral lists this ribosomal RNA (502 nucleotides) under uncultured bacterium. Its description in RNAcentral is "partial 16S ribosomal RNA". It matches the Rfam family "Bacterial small subunit ribosomal RNA", at positions 28 to 507 of the family's 1533-position model. The record is from RNAcentral.